RNAcentral lists this ribosomal RNA (627 nucleotides) under uncultured marine eukaryote. Its description in RNAcentral is "SSU rRNA". It matches the Rfam family "Eukaryotic small subunit ribosomal RNA", at positions 614 to 1242 of the family's 1831-position model. The record is from RNAcentral.
UGUGGUUAAAAAGCUCGUAGUUGGAUCUCGGCGGACUGAGGGCGGUUUGCUUGCUAGUAUUACUGCCCUAUAGUCCGUAGUUUUGCCAGAGGUUUCGGGGUGCUCUUAAUCGAGUGUCCCGGGAUGCUGGCAGGUUUACUUUGAAAAAAUUAGAGUGCUCAAAGCAGGCUAUUACGCCUGAAUAUUCGUGCAUGGAAUAAUAGAAUAGGAAGUCGUUUCUAUUUUGUUGGUUUUCGGAAAUCGACUUAAUGAUUAAUAGGGACAGUCGGGGGCAUUUGUAUUCAAACGACAGAGGUGAAAUUCUUGGACCGUUUGAAGACAAACUACUGCGAAAGCAUUUGCCAAGAAUGUUUUCAUUAAUCAAGAACGAAAGUUAAAGGUUCGAAGGCGAUUAGAUACCGCCCUAGUUUUAACCAUAAACGAUGCCAGCUAGCGAUCUGCGGACGUUUUUUUUGUAGACUCCGCAGGAAGCUUCCGGGAAACCAAAGCAUUUGGGUUCCAGGGGAAGUAUGGUUGCAAAGCUGAAACUUAAAGGAAUUGACGGAAGGGCACCACCAGGAGUGGAGCCUGUGGCUUAAUUUGACUCAACACGGGAAAUCUCACCAGGCCCGGACACUGGAAGGAUUG